RNAcentral lists this ribosomal RNA (494 nucleotides) under uncultured bacterium. RNAcentral's name for it is "partial 16S ribosomal RNA". It matches the Rfam family "Bacterial small subunit ribosomal RNA", at positions 30 to 523 of the family's 1533-position model. The record is from RNAcentral.
AUUGAACGCUGGCGGCAUGCUUUACACAUGCAAGUCGAACGGUAACAGGUUAAGCUGACGAGUGGCGAACGGGUGAGUAAUGCAUCGGAACGUGCCCGAUCGUGGGGGAUAACGCAGCGAAAGCUGCGCUAAUACCGCAUACGAUCUGAGGAUGAAAGCGGGGGACCGUAAGGCCUCGCGCGUUCGGAGCGGCCGAUGUCAGAUUAGGUAGUUGGUGGGGUAAAGGCUCACCAAGCCAACGAUCUGGAGCUGGUCUGAGAGGACGACCAGCCACGCUGGGACUGAGACACAGCCCAGACUCCUACAGGAGGCAGCAGUGGGGAAUUUUGGACAAUGGGCGAAAGCCUGAUCCAGCAAUGCCGCGUGCAGGAAGAAGGCCUUCGGGUUGUAAACUGCUUUUGUACCGAGCGAAAAGGCUCUCUCUAAUACAGGGGGCUCAUGACGGUACCGUAAGAAUAAGCACCGGCUAACUACGUGCCAGCCGCCGCCUGUAA